Molecule: unclassified non-coding RNA, 138 nt
Filed under: uncultured Leotiomycetes
Lineage: Eukaryota; Fungi; Ascomycota; Leotiomycetes
Description: sequence contains ITS2
Source: RNAcentral
AAACACUCAAGCUCUGCUUGGCGAUGGGGGCGGCGUCGCCGUCACCCGCAAUCCGUGGGCGGAGGCCGCCGUGCGUCGGAGUAGUGAACACUUUCUUCAGAAUGCACGGAGGGUUUCCAGCCAAACGUCAAUCUACAA